Molecule: ribosomal RNA, 356 nt
Filed under: Anaplasma phagocytophilum
Lineage: Bacteria; Pseudomonadati; Pseudomonadota; Alphaproteobacteria; Rickettsiales; Anaplasmataceae
Description: bacterial SSU rRNA
Rfam family: Bacterial small subunit ribosomal RNA
Source: RNAcentral
GGUUAGUGGCAGACGGGUGAGUAAUGCAUAGGAAUCUACCUAGUAGUAUGGGAUAGCCACUGGAAAUGGUGGGUAAUACCGUAUAAUCCCCGCGGGGGAAAGAUUUAUCGCUAUUAGAUGAGCCUAUGUCGGAUUAGCUAGUUGGUGGGGUAAUGGCCUACCAAGGCAGUGAUCUGUAGCUGGUCUGAGAGGAUGAUCAGCCACACUGGAACUGAGACACGGUCCAGACUCCUACGGGAGGCAGCAGUGGGGAAUAUUGGACAAUGGGCGCAAGCCUGAUCCAGCUAUGCCGCGUGAGUGAGGAAGGCCUUAGGGUUGUAAAACUCUUUCAGUAGGGAAGAUAAUGACGGUACCUA